Molecule: ribosomal RNA, 639 nt
Filed under: Halomonas sediminicola
Lineage: Bacteria; Pseudomonadati; Pseudomonadota; Gammaproteobacteria; Oceanospirillales; Halomonadaceae
Description: bacterial SSU rRNA
Rfam family: Bacterial small subunit ribosomal RNA
Source: RNAcentral
GCGGCCUCCUGGACUGACACUGAACACUGAGGUGCGAAAGCGUGGGUAGCAAACAGGCAUUAAAUACCCUGGUAGUCCACGCCGUAAACGAUGUCGACUAGCCGUUGGGUCCCUUGAGGACUUUGUGGCGCAGUUAACGCGAUAAGUCGACCGCCUGGGGAGUACGGCCGCAAGGUUAAAACUCAAAUGAAUUGACGGGGGCCCGCACAAGCGGUGGAGCAUGUGGUUUAAUUCUAUGCAACGCGAAGAACCUUACCUACCCUUGACAUCGUGCGAACUUGGUAGAGAUACCUUGGUGCCUUCGGGAGCGCACAGACAGGUGCUGCAUGGCUGUCGUCAGCUCGUGUUGUGAAAUGUUGGGUUAAGUCCCGUAACGAGCGCAACCCUUGUCCCUAUUUGCCAGCGAUUCGGUCGGGAACUCUAGGGAGACUGCCGGUGACAAACCGGAGGAAGGUGGGGACGACGUCAAGUCAUCAUGGCCCUUACGGGUAGGGCUACACACGUGCUACAAUGGCCGGUACAAAGGGUUUGCGAAGCCGCGAGGUGGAGCCAAUCCCGAAAAGCCGGUCUCAGUCCCGGAUCGGAGUCUGCAACUUCGACUCCGUGAAGUCGGAAUCGCUAGUAAUCGUGAAUCCAAAA